This 301-nucleotide ribosomal RNA is filed under the name uncultured bacterium. RNAcentral describes it as "partial 16S ribosomal RNA". It matches the Rfam family "Bacterial small subunit ribosomal RNA", at positions 512 to 809 of the family's 1533-position model. The record is from RNAcentral.
CAGUGCGCGGUAAUACAGAGGUCUCAAGCGUUGUUCGGAUUCAUUGGGCGUAAAGGGUGCGUAGGUGACGGUGUAAGUCUAACGUGAAAUCUCGGGGCUCAACCUCGAAAUUGCGUCGGAUACUGCAUUGCUAGAGGAUUGUAGAGGAGAGUGGAAUUCAUGGUGUAGCAGUGAAAUGCGUAGAUAUCAUGAGGAAGACCAGUUGCGAAGGCGACUCUCUGGGCAAUUCCUGACACUGAGGCACGAAGGCUAGGGGAGCAAACGGGAUUAGAUACCCCAGUAGUCCCUGUCUCUUAUACAC